RNAcentral lists this long non-coding RNA (263 nucleotides) under Musa acuminata (dwarf banana). Its description in RNAcentral is "long non-coding RNA (MACU_LNC006556)". Lineage: Eukaryota; Viridiplantae; Streptophyta; Magnoliopsida; Zingiberales; Musaceae. The record is from RNAcentral.
GUGAGCUCGCAUGCCGCGCACCAGUGGUGAAAACGAUACGCGAUGGUGAAAAGACACGGACAGGAAUCGCGCGCCCACCCAUCCUCGAAGAGAUCGCCACGUGCUCACAUCUGUUCUUGGCCCCCACACCGUCGCUCUACCCAAUUCCUCGUCCACUCGACGUCUCGACAGAGCGAGUAUUUUGAUUAUCGAUAGUAAUGUUUCGUGAUCAAAUCUUAUUUUCGUAAGAAAAAUAAAUAUGGAAAUAUUUUUCUGUAUACAAG